Molecule: long non-coding RNA, 1361 nt
Organism: Myzus persicae (green peach aphid)
Lineage: Eukaryota; Metazoa; Arthropoda; Insecta; Hemiptera; Aphididae
Exons: 3
Source: RefSeq, a predicted model, not a curated record
GAUAAGCUAUAUUACGCCUAUACCCAUAAGUCUUUAAUCGGAAUAAAACGCAGUCAAGACGUACCCAUGAGGCCAUAACCAUGAACAGUCCUACCUAUCGUCUAAUACAUUUGGUAUAAGUGUACAACAGACGUAUCGACGUAUCACAUAUUAUUGUGUUUUCAACAAGGAUUAUCGAUGAACUCUAAAGAAUAACUAUAUGCCUUCAUACAAUUAUAUUAAUGCGUGGUAGGUCGGGAAUAACGAUAAAAUUCCAACGAAAAAGUGUUUGCGAUGCGUUGUAGAUACGAUUUCAUAGUCAUCACUGCGCAAAGCUCUAAUGUUAGCACAAUAUUAUAAUCACCUACUCUCCUACAUAUUAUUAUCGUUAAUGUCUCUGUAAGAUGACCUCAUUGUGGUAUUAACCCUAACCGUAUAGGCCGAUGCACGCGAUGUGAGAAGGGUUGCUUUCGGUUAAUACCUAUAAAACCUCACCACCUGCAGAUUUUCAUUGUAACUGUACCGUUGUCCGUUAUUAGGUAUGUGACGCAAUAUUGGUAACAAUACGGAUGAGUACCGCGUGUGAAAUAAUGAUGUAAGAAAUGCGCGUUCCGCCGGACUAUAUAUUAUAUCCAAUCGGGUGAAAGUAGACCGCCGGUGAAAUAUAUAAUAUUACCUAUGUAGGUCCCGAAAAAAGACGUGCUUACGACUUGUAAAAAGUAAAAGAAAAACGUUUCAUCUGCAGCCUUAUAAGGUUCAACGGAUGAAGUAGUACGUGCAUAUUAUACGAUAUUUCGAUCUUACGAUUGAGAUAAACCAACAUUAUGCUUGGCGGCUCCACUCCAUCACGUGGGAUCGAUUUUUACAGUAGACCACUUCACACUUGCUGUUGACAUAACACCGGAAGAUUAUGGCCGUUUUUAGAGCUCCGACCUAUAAUAAUACUCGCAGCAGAUAACCUGAAUAAUACAGCACAACACAUGCAGCUGUUAUACAUAUAGUUGCUGCAGACCAAGCAAAAUAAGCAUCAAGUAAUGUAGAAGAUUAUGGAAGUACAAAACUUGGUACAAAACAAUUAACUGAAAGCCGCUUAAAAAACUAAUGUAUACCAAUUAAAAAUAAUGAUAUAAGUAUAUUAGAUUUUCUAAUGAUUUUCAGCCACUACAUUAGAAAUCAAUGCUACUAAAUCAUUUUUAAAUUUUUUUAACUUUAAACAUUUUUUUAAUUAUAUACAAAUGACAAAAUACAAUUAUUGCAGAUUGCAACUAUGCCUGUAUAUUUUAUAAAAAGAGUAAUGCAUGUUAAGGAAUGUUAUUUAUGGAAUGAUUUUUUACUGUGGUAUAAUUAGUUAUUGUGUAAUGUCAUAUACUAAAUAUAAUUUU